GCCAGUGGCAAUUCCGACAGGGAAACACCCGAUCCCAUUCCGAACUCGGCAGUUAAGCCUGUCAGGGCUGAUGGUACUGACACCCAAUCCGGUGUUGGAAGAGUAGGUCGCUGCUGGUC
This 119-nucleotide ribosomal RNA is filed under the name Elusimicrobia bacterium RIFCSPLOWO2_12_FULL_59_9. The record is from RNAcentral. Lineage: Bacteria; Pseudomonadati; Elusimicrobiota.